CGAGAACAUGGCUUUGGAGUCAGAUGGACUUGGGUCCAAAUCCUGACAUUACAGCUUCCAGGUGUGAGUUGGGAAAAGCUGCUAACCUCCCCUAGCUGUAACAUUAUUCUCAUCUAAUGGGUCAGGAAGCAAAGAUCAAGAAAGACCAAUUGGCAAACAUGAGUCCUGUGUUGUCAUCUAUAAAAAAAGAUUCACCUUGCAUGAUUCUUAUAAGGAAUGAGAAGAUAAGCAGGCCCAGCCAAUCACUUCCAUCUCCAAAACGACUUUUCCCCCUGAAGAAACGGCAAGCAGUAACUCAGAAACCACUGCCAUCGAUCAGCAGCUCACCAUGUGCUAUGCCAAGCAUCACUUCACACAGUGUUUACACGCAAUCCUCAGAACAUCUGCUAGGUAGCUACUGUCUGUCCAGUUUUACAGUUGAAGAUGAGAAAUGGAGGAUCCAGGAAAGUCACAGAACUGAAAACAGAAACAGCAGUCGACCCAGAUCUGCCUGCUGCUAAAGCUUAUGCUACACCCCAAAAGGAUGGUGCAGAAGGGAACCUAGAG
Molecule: long non-coding RNA, 546 nt
Filed under: Heterocephalus glaber (naked mole-rat)
Lineage: Eukaryota; Metazoa; Chordata; Mammalia; Rodentia; Bathyergidae
Description: lncRNA (ENSHGLG00100027626.2)
Source: RNAcentral